GUUAUUUCCAGAAUUGAGCUAAAUUCAACAAUCAGGGAAAUGCAAAUCAAAACCACUUUGAGCGCGCUUCCUGUCUGUCUCUGUGGCAGUCCAGAUUGAAUUGGAGAGUACAUGU
Molecule: small nucleolar RNA, 115 nt
Organism: Arvicola amphibius (Eurasian water vole)
Lineage: Eukaryota; Metazoa; Chordata; Mammalia; Rodentia; Cricetidae
Product: small nucleolar RNA SNORA31
Exons: 1
Source: RefSeq, a predicted model, not a curated record